RNAcentral lists this long non-coding RNA (1817 nucleotides) under Heterocephalus glaber (naked mole-rat). RNAcentral's name for it is "lncRNA (ENSHGLG00000033636.1)". The record is from RNAcentral. Lineage: Eukaryota; Metazoa; Chordata; Mammalia; Rodentia; Bathyergidae.
UGAAUUAGACAUGCAAACAUUUGGGAAAAUGUUCAUGAAGAAAAAGCAAAGAACAGGGAAGAGUGUGUCUCAGGUCAUGUUGAGAGUCCAGUACUUUUGGGAAGGGAGAAGGAAAGGGAGCUGAGCAGGAAAAGUCACAGAACGGAGCAAUUCUAAGCUGGAUUCUGCCAGAACCGUGGGGAGUGUUUGUGGAAGUCCUUGGUCUCCAGCAAUGGGCCUGAUUACUGGAUUCGCUGGGCUCUUGUAGGAGUCUGGAGCAGUCCCCAGGGAUCAAACUCAGGACCUUAUGCUUGCGAAGCAGACAACAGAACCACUGAGCAGCUGUUGUUUCACGGCAUAUUUGGAAGCAUCUUUUCUUCAGUGGUGCCGACUUGUGAUGUGUCUGCCAGUCCAGAGACUCGGCAUUGCCGAGCUCCUGGUGCCAGGCUCUGAAGAAAUGAUCAUUUCUGCCUCUGGAAGAAUGUGAGGAAAUCUUAUUUUUAGUUCUUGUCUUACACACUUAAAAAUGAGGCUUGAAGAGAUUAAAUAAAACCUUAAAAGGCAGGUAGAGAGUUGAAGUUUCUGAAGGAAGACAAGGGAGCAGGACCAAGACCACUCCAGGGAGGCCUUCUGAGCUUGUUGUACAUUUCCCAUCCACUCCUCAGACUGUUUUUCCCAGACAACAAAAAGUAUCAUCUGAAAUGUUACCAGAUUUUAAUGAGACUUCUGGUGCUGAAAGAAAACAAAACUUAAGUGAAGAUCAAGAGGAGAAACAGAAACCAAGAGUGAAUGAAGGGUUUAAACCAGUAUCUCAAGGACGAAUGAAGAAGUUAAGGAAACAGAAACAAAGGGAAGAACAAAGAGAACUCCGCAAACAAAAGUGGAAAGAAAAAUGCAAGGGAAAGAAAUUAGAAUGACAAUGUCAACUGGAAUCAAACCCAGAUGGAAAUGACAGAAAACGUGUUCAAAGACAAGUCAUCCAGAGCACACUCUGCCUUGUCAUUGACUGCCAUUUUGAUGAUUUGAUGGUCUUACAGGAUAUUAAGAAACUUCAUAGGCAGAUUCAGCGAUCUUAUGCAGAAAACCAAAGAGCAUUGCACCCCAGCAGAUUUUCUUGACAAGCCAUGGAGGCCAGCUGAAAAGGAACAUGGAUGACAAUGACAAAGGAUGGGUCAACUGGAAGGAUAUCCACAUCAAACCAGAGCUCUGUAGUGAACUCAUAAAAAAAGAAGACCUUGUGUAUCUUACAUCAGAUUCCCCUAACACACUGCAGGAAUUAGAUGAGUCAAGGGCCUAUGUGAUUGGAGGAUUGGCAGACCACAACCAUCACAAGGGAUUCACGUAGAAACAAGAUCGGAUUAUGGGAUUGAUCAUGCUCAGCUCCCCCACAGAAAUUCUGUGAAGAUGAACAGUCGGAAAGGUCUGACAGUUGAUCAUGUAUUUGAGAUUAUCCUGGAAUACCUGCAAACAAGAGACUGGCAAGAAGCAUUUUUUUACUAUCUUACCCCAGCGGAAAGGAGCUGUCUCCACAGACAAAGCCUGUGACAGUUCCUCCCAGGACCAGCAGGGUGCUGGGGCUGAAGGUGGACUGGACAGUGAGGCGGAAUGCUGCAGGAAUCAACCGGAUUCCCCACAUCCAGAGGACGCGCAGGAUGAGGAAAGCCACUGAGUCCACGUGAGUCCGCCCCGCUAACACUACCUGGUUCCCUCUGAGCUUAGGGACACAUUAGGAGGAGGUGACAAAUGAGGUGCUUCACAGAACUGUCGGCUUGUAGAAGAAUGUUAUUUUCUCUUAUUUAUAUUGUGAAUUUAAAACUUAUGGAACUAAAUAACAAAAG